GGUAUAUAAACUCCGCAGAUUACCAAUGGAUAAUGGCAAAGUUAUGACUCCAAACACAAGCACUUUGCUUUAUUAUCCAUUCCAGUAUGUUUCAGUGCAAGAUAUCUCAAAUGAAUCAAAUGCCCAAUUCCAUAGGUAUGUAGUAGUGAUAUAUAUAGUCAAUUUUUAAAACUCUUAGCAGCCUAAAAUUCUCAAAAAUAAACUUUAGUUGCUGCCUUCUCAUAUAAUACCCACUACUUCCAUAUUCAAAGCCACCACCGAGUUUCUGUCUCACUACAUCAAGCAUACCAUGUUCAAUGAAAUAGAAUAGAGAACGGAGAUGUGAAUCACCAUUUUUUAAGGAAGGUACACAGAACUUACUUUUGCUUCCACCUUUCCCAGUAAUGCGAGGAUGAAUAGCAAUUCUACGCCACU
This 414-nucleotide unclassified non-coding RNA is filed under the name Hevea brasiliensis (rubber tree). Lineage: Eukaryota; Viridiplantae; Streptophyta; Magnoliopsida; Malpighiales; Euphorbiaceae. The record is from RNAcentral.